Molecule: unclassified non-coding RNA, 216 nt
Filed under: Hevea brasiliensis (rubber tree)
Lineage: Eukaryota; Viridiplantae; Streptophyta; Magnoliopsida; Malpighiales; Euphorbiaceae
Source: RNAcentral
AAAUAAUUAUCAACAGGCAGACACGGGUACAAAGAUGAUACAUAAAGGAAAGAAUACAAGGAGUAGAAUUAUCUCAAAAGGAAUUUCUGCUGGGAACUCAAGGAACUGUUAUAGGGGGCUUGUUCAGGUUCAAUCCAAAGCAGACAAUGCUAAGAACUCAUCACAAUGUGAUUCUAUGCUCAUUGGUGACAAUGCUGCUGCCAACACUUAUCCAUA